UUGACCUCGGAUCAGGUAGGAAUACCCGAUGAACUAA
Molecule: ribosomal RNA, 37 nt
Filed under: Fusarium oxysporum
Lineage: Eukaryota; Fungi; Ascomycota; Sordariomycetes; Hypocreales; Nectriaceae
Description: partial 28S ribosomal RNA
Source: RNAcentral